Long non-coding RNA from Lolium rigidum, 499 nucleotides. RefSeq lists it as uncharacterized. NCBI's taxonomy places the organism in Eukaryota, Viridiplantae, Streptophyta, Magnoliopsida, Poales, Poaceae. The transcript has 3 exons. The record is from RefSeq and is a predicted model, not a curated record.
CUACGGCACGGGCUGCUGCCACACCACCAUCUGCAGCUCCUGCGCUUCAGAGUUGGAGCUGGAGGGGAAGAUGCAAAUAAUGGGAAAUCUGGAGUUGGCGAUCGACAAAUAGAAGCUAAGCCUGAUACGCUGACAGUUGAUACUGGUGCUGGGGUUCCAUUCCAUCAAAUAUUUUAGUCAGUUUUCAAGUUCUUUGUAUAUGACCAGAUAUACAGAAAGCAUGCUCAACAACAAGGUAGAGCUGCAAAUAUCUCUUCAAAGAAUAAUUAUGUCCUUACGAAGAAGUUAUCGACCAUUCGAGACUUUGAACCCACUCUCAGAAGAUAUCUGCAUGAUUCCUCUUAAGAAGCUGAAGAGUUUGCCUUCUGGAUGCAUUUUUGGUGUAGAAUUUAUCAAGGUUAUCACUGUGAAAACAACAGAUACUACUUCAGAAAACCUGUAUAUUCAGCAGAGCAACACCUUUGAUGACCAUGGAGUGUAUACUUGGAUUAUUGAAGGC